This 252-nucleotide ribosomal RNA is filed under the name uncultured bacterium. Its description in RNAcentral is "partial 16S ribosomal RNA". It matches the Rfam family "Bacterial small subunit ribosomal RNA", at positions 526 to 776 of the family's 1533-position model. The record is from RNAcentral.
CGAAGGGUGCAAGCGUUAAUCGGAAUUAUUGGGCGUAAAGAGCUCGUAGGUGGUUUGUUACGUCUGCUGUGAAAACCUAGGGCUUAACCCUGGGCCUGCAGUGGAUACGGGCAGACUAGAGGUAGGUAGGGGAGAAUGGAAUUCCCAGUGUAGAGGUGAAAUUCGUAGAUAUUGGGAAGAACACCGGUGGCGAAGGCGGCGACCUGGUCCUUUUACUGACGCUGAGGCGCGAAAGCGUGGGGAGCAAACAGG